AGCAGAUGCUGGCCUGAGACGGUGACAUGUACACUGGACCUGAACCCCCGCCCACACUCCUACGGGACGCAGCAGUGGGGAAUCUUGCACAAUGGACCAAAGUCUGAUGCAGCAACGCCGCGUGAGGGACGAAGGCCUUCGGGUUGUAAACCUCUUUUAGCAGGGAAGAAGCGAAAGUGACGGUACCUGCAGAAAAAGCACCGGCUAACUACGUGCCAGCAGCCGCGGUAAUACGUACGGUGCAAGCGUUGUCCGGAAUUAUUGGGCGUAAAGAGCUCGUAGGCGGUUUGUCGCGUCUGCUGUGAAAUUUCUAGGCUCAACCUCGAACUUGCAUUGGGUACGGGCAGGCUAGAGUGCAGUAAGGGAGACUGGAAUUCCUA
RNAcentral lists this ribosomal RNA (380 nucleotides) under uncultured bacterium. RNAcentral describes it as "bacterial SSU rRNA". It matches the Rfam family "Bacterial small subunit ribosomal RNA", at positions 279 to 672 of the family's 1533-position model. The record is from RNAcentral.